GUAGGGUGCAAGCGUUAAUCGGAAUUACUGGGGCGUAAAGCGUGCGCAGGCGGUCCGCUAAGACAGAUGUGAAAUCCCCGGGGCUUAACCUGGGAACUGCAUUUGUGACUGGCGGGCUAGAGUAUGGCAGAGGGGGGUAGAAUUCCACGUGUAGCAGUGAAAUGCGUAGAGAUGUGGAGGAAGUACCGAUGGCGAAGGCAGCCCCCUGGGCCAAUACUGACGCUCAUGCACGAAAGCGUGGGGAGCAAACAGGAUUAGAUACCCUGGUAGUCCACGCCCUAAACGAUGUCAACUAGUUGUCGGGUCUUCAUUGACUUGGUAACGUAGCUAACGCGUGAAGUUGACCGCCUGGGGAGUACGGUCGCAAAGAUUA
Molecule: ribosomal RNA, 373 nt
Filed under: uncultured organism
Description: partial 16S ribosomal RNA
Rfam family: Bacterial small subunit ribosomal RNA
Source: RNAcentral